UAUGGCCAUAACAUGUUGAAACACCAGUUCUCAUCUGAUCACCAGGGUUAAGCAAUAUCGAAGCUGAUUAGUACUUAGAUGGUUGACCACUUGUGAAUACAAGGU
Molecule: non-coding RNA, 105 nt
Organism: Acanthosepion pharaonis
Lineage: Eukaryota; Metazoa; Mollusca; Cephalopoda; Sepiida; Sepiidae
Source: the annotation of a GenBank genome assembly